RNAcentral lists this ribosomal RNA (262 nucleotides) under uncultured archaeon. RNAcentral describes it as "partial 16S ribosomal RNA". It matches the Rfam family "Archaeal small subunit ribosomal RNA", at positions 719 to 982 of the family's 1478-position model. The record is from RNAcentral.
ACAGUCACACAUUAGAUACCCGUGUAGUCCUGGCCGUAAACGAUGUGGACUUGGUNUUGGGAUGGCUCCGAGCUGCCCCAGUGCCGAAGGGAAGCCGUUAAGUCCACCGCCUGGGAAGUACGGUCGCAAGACUGAACUUAAAGGAAUUGGCGGGGAGCACCACAACGCGUGGAGCCUGCGGUUUAAUUGGAUUCAACGCCGGACAUCUCACCAGGGUGACAGCAGAAUGAUGGCCAGGUUGAUGACCUUGCUUGACAAGCUG